Molecule: transfer RNA, 73 nt
Filed under: Terfezia boudieri ATCC MYA-4762
Lineage: Eukaryota; Fungi; Ascomycota; Pezizomycetes; Pezizales; Pezizaceae
Rfam family: tRNA
About the family: Transfer RNA (tRNA) molecules are approximately 80 nucleotides in length. Their secondary structure includes four short double-helical elements and three loops (D, anti-codon, and T loops).
Source: Rfam by way of RNAcentral
GGUUGUGUGGCUCAAUCGGUAGAGCAUCAUGCUAAAAACGUGAAGGUUGUGAGUUCGAGUCUCACGGCGACCA